Felis catus (domestic cat) is the source of this 989-nucleotide long non-coding RNA. RefSeq lists it as uncharacterized. NCBI's taxonomy places the organism in Eukaryota, Metazoa, Chordata, Mammalia, Carnivora, Felidae. The record is from RefSeq and is a predicted model, not a curated record. The transcript has 3 exons.
UGGCGCGCCGCGCCGAUGGUUGCCACUCACUCUCGGAUGAGUAAGGGGGCUGUCCCGCGCGGGCGCUGAAGCCUCAUUCCGGAGAGGCAGCCGGAGGAGUGGUCCCGGUGGAUUCUUCUACCCCAGUCCCACAGUGCUGGGUACAACCUAUCCACACAGAGGAAAAUACUGAUGGGCCUUCCUUGUCACAUGGUGAUGGUGACUGGAAUCACAGAAAUGGUGUCUAGAAGAAAAUAGAGGGCAAGAUGGAGUCACUUACAUCAAGCAGUGACUCAUGUCAGGCAACCAAGAGCUAAGACCAGAUGAUGCUGAAACCAGCACAGACUGAUGAUGCCCAGAACUGAUGACCAGCAGAACCUGAAGAGGCCUCGAAUGGCCCAAGGCUGAUUAAACUCCUUUAAAAAGGGGUGACUUUUGCAGCAAACUGUCAGACUCUCCAGACACUAACCCUUUCCCAUCUGACCACACUGAAAAGGCAACUGGUGCCAAAGCUCUGGCUGACUGGUCUCUGAGCAUAGCAGAGAUCCUCCACUGCUAGAAUAUAAUAAGCAGUAUGCACGGAGAGCUGACCAGACCAGACUGAGGCCUCAUCUCUACUAUGCAUUCAUAGAUGGACUUUGAGUUGGGUUUCUCAACUUCUCACCUCUUGCUGUAUCUUGUUUGUAGUGUGCUUUACUUUGUGUGAUAUGUAUGAAACCAAGUUAAAUGUGUAACAAAAUGGCAUUGAGUUUGGAAUCUUGGACCUGCUUUACAAUUAUGUUAGCCUUGUUUUGUGAUUGAAUAAAGCUAACACUGUGGAAAGACACAACUCAUGUCUGUGCACUCAUAAUGUGCUUGUGACAAACAUAUAUAUAAAUAAAAUAGAGAUUAAGCAAAUGUUAAUAAUUAAAAAUUUUUUAAUCUACGUGGAGGGUGUAUAGGUAUUGUACUAUUUUUUCACCUUUCCUGUAUGUUUGAAAUUUUUCAAAAUAAAAAUGGAAAUAAAGGCU